RNAcentral lists this transfer RNA (72 nucleotides) under Cavia porcellus (domestic guinea pig). It matches the Rfam family "tRNA". From Rfam's summary of the family: Transfer RNA (tRNA) molecules are approximately 80 nucleotides in length. Lineage: Eukaryota; Metazoa; Chordata; Mammalia; Rodentia; Caviidae. The record is from Rfam by way of RNAcentral.
GCAGAAGUGGCUUAGUGGGAGAGCAUUUGCCUAGCAAACAUAAGGCCCUGGGCUUGAGCCCCGGCAUCACCA